Molecule: non-coding RNA, 503 nt
Organism: Paramuricea clavata
Lineage: Eukaryota; Metazoa; Cnidaria; Anthozoa; Malacalcyonacea; Plexauridae
Source: the annotation of a GenBank genome assembly
GUAUUUUUUAUGUUUUUCCCUUCUUCACUCCUAUCAAACAGCCAGAGGAGGUUGGACAGCCAAUUAGGCGAACAUCUCGACCAAUCAGAUUGCGCCAUUUUUCUCAUGCUCGCACGAAGCUUUUGGCAUCGAAAAUUUACAUAGGGCUCAUAAAUGUCGAUUUUUUUCAUAUUGUUAUGCAAAUUUUUUUGAAAAUUUCACGCGAUACUACUUUUACAACAGUCAAUGUACCCAUUGGAACGGUAUCUUAAAAGGUAAGCGUCAUUUUCCAGUUUAUUUUGACCUCUCACUUAGGCGCUAUGCCGUCGCGAUGUAAUUUAAUGGCGUUUCUGUCAGCAAUCUUUGAAGACAAAAAUCUCAAAUCUCCAUGGUUCGAUUUCGCUAUUUUUUUCACGAUUAGUUAAAUAAAAGUAUAAUCUUUAAUUCUAUCCAGCCGGCCCCCCUCGGCCUCUCGACCAUUUUCGAGAUAUUCACAGUUGAAUAUAGCCCUUUGUAAAAUAUGC